GUUACUACAUCAUCUACUACAACACUAGGCAGAAUCUCUCAUGCAUCCUCAGCUGUCACCUGUUGGAUAUCUUAUAUUUAAUGCAACAUAACAGUGACCAAUUGUUAUGCCAACAUUAAAUAUAACAUUAAACGAUCUAGGUUAUAUUUACCCUACAAAGUGAAUCUCUAUGUUUAGUACAUCACUAAUUUUAUAUCAAUGAUGACCCUGUUCAUAUUGAGAUUAACUCAACUUGGGAAACUCAAUCUAAAACCAAGUGUUGUCUUAAUUCGAUCCACUAAGUCAUACUUUUUUUAAGCUCUUUCUUAGUUAAUAUCCUUAAAUGAGUGAUCAGCCGAAAUAGAUCAUUAAAAUAAAUAUAAUUAAGACAAAAUGUUAUAACAAACACAGAGAAACACAUGUAUGACAGUCAAACAUCCAUUAAGAUCGUUUAUCACUCAACUACAAUCAAAUUCAGUUCGUGAUUUACGAUAGAAAAAUAAAUAAAAGAGUUUCAGCCAUCAAAUACAUCCCAAUGAAUAAAUAGAAAACAAAAAAAAAAAAUAAGAAGAACUUAUUUCGGAUUAAUCUCUGCGAUUUCUCCUCUAGUACAGUCUUCAAUCUAUCUCUUAAUUUUUGUUUUUCUUGUUGUUUAUUUGCAGUAUAUCCUUUGGGUGACGGCUCUCCCUUUUCUUUUGCAAGCAUGCUCCUUUUAUAACUAAAAAUUAGGGCAACCGAGAGUAUGUGGUGCAUAUCCUUCAUUUUUGAAAACUUUAUAUCACAAUUUUUUAAUUAUCUCGUGCGAAAUAUUCUCUGUCAUUACUCCAGGAUUGCUACAAUAAUGGCUUCAGUAUCUUCACUGUUUUUUACUUAUUUCAAUUCUUAUGUAGUCAAGUUUUUUCAUUAUCUUUGCAGGUCCGUUGCAACAACAUUCAUUCCUUAAAUUUUGAGCUUUCGGUCACCUACAAUUAAACAUAUAAUCUAAAUAUAAAUUAUUCUAAAAAAACAACUCAAUUUAUUAGAAUUAGACUAAAAUGGACGUUCAUGCAAAAUAUAAAUAAAAUACAAUAAAAAUUACAUCAUUUACUCUCUAAGUAUUACCGAUUCAAGUUUAAAAGUGUCAUGAUAACUCUAUGAAGUUUAAAUUAAGCAUAUAAUCUAGGUACAAAUUAUUCUAAAAAACAACUCAAUUUAUUAAAAUUAGACUAAAAUAGACGUUCAUGCAAAAUAUAAAUAAAAUGCAAUAAAAAGCACAUUAUUUACGCUCUAAGUAUUACCGAUUCAAGUUCCCAUCUCAUCCAUAUAAUCAUCAUCAUCAUUAUCAUCAUAAUAUUCAUGCGGGCUGGAUUUUUCCAGUGACAUCAAUAGUAGUGCUAAUUCAUUUUUUAAGAUUUUUUUAAUUUUUAUUUUAACAUUGAUACUUUAAAUGAGACAGAGAUGGAUUUGUGAGAAUUAAAAAUGAAAGGUAGAAGAGAUUGAGAAUUAUUGAAUUAGAUUUAGAAAUUCAAUCCAAAUGGAUUCUAGGGUCAACCCAAACCGAACUGAAAACUGAAAUAAAUUUUUGGUUCGGUUCGGGUUGACUAAAAAAGGACACCCACCCCUACUUGUGGCUUAAUUCAUUUGCCUUUUUUUUUUUUUUUAUAUAUAUUAGAAGGCAUUUUAAUUGUUAUCUUAAAGAAAUUAAAAGAAAGAGACUGAGUAAAGAAAGACCAAAAUUUUCUUCCAAAAAGAAAAUAAGAAAAGAGCCAAAAAAAGAGAGAAAAAACUUACUUACCUAAUUGUGAGACUUUUAUAGGCAGCCAAGAUCACUGCCUCAAUAUUGAUGCCUGGACGCACUACAAGAUCGUUGAUGAACUGGCUUCGUGCCCAGAUAUCUUGAAAAAAAUCACGGGUUGGCCUUAACCUAACCCCAUAGUUGACUUAGUGCAGAUUCCCUUUUCACAUCAACCAACCGACCACGCAUGCUCAAUUCCCACGAGCUGAUCUCCCACACCUUAACUAAUGAGAGCAGGAUUCGCACUAGGCAACCUUUGGUUGUGCUCACAUUUCACACCUCAAACAUAUAUUACUUCAGUUUUUUUUUUUAAUAAACCUUAGAACCUGACCUUUUUUCUCUCUCUCUCAAGCCACAUUCUAGAGUAUUCUCCAAAUAUCUUUGUUUUCUUCGCCGAUUUGGCAAUCUUUCUCUUUUUCUUUUUUCUUUCAUUUUGCUUUGCUUGUUUCUUUAGCCUUAAUGGCGUUUUGUCCUUUCAUUUUUAAAUGUAUUAUCUCCACCCAUAGAGUUUUAGUAAUUUUACUCAUCCUCGAUUUUAAUUUGUGGAGGCUUUGGUGGAUGUUGUGGGUAUUUAGUUUUUCGGCUACAAAUUUUUUCAAUUUUGAAGCUUUUUCAUUUCAAAUUUAGAAAUUUCUAGCACGUAGAAAGUUAAUUAAUACAUCUAAAGAAGAUAUGGGGUGUUAAAAGGUUUUAAUAGUGUUACUUUCAUUAAAGUUAAAACUGUGAACUUCAUAAAGAAGGUCGGUGCUUUUGGGGGAUGUGAGAAACUUCACUCAAUUUUAAGAUCGAUGAUUAAUUACCACAAAGAUCGAUGGUUGUAGUCAAGUUGAAAUGCUAUUGGGCUUAUACAAAAUAUUUAUUUGGCCAUUUGAGCUUUACUUAAUUGAGCCUAAUUAUGGUCUUUUUUAUUAAGGGUGCCUCUAAGUUACGUUAAGCGUAACUUACAUUUUUUGUCUUUUUUCUUCUGGCGAAUUUCACACGAGUCCUUGUAUUCUUUAUGUUUAUGGAUGUAUUUGCCUUCUUUUAUCAAUUAUACAUCUAUUUUUCAUUCUUUCCAAUGUUCUUUUUAUUUUUUUAAAUAAUAACAAACAAUUAUCAAAUGGCCAAACCUAGGUUACGUGUAACGUAACAUACAUUCAAGAAGUGAAAUAUCUAUUGGCACCCUUGAAUUUUAUGGAAACUACAUUAAUUGAAUUAAAAUGGUAAAUUAAAAUAUCAAAUGGUAUCUAUUAAUCAGAAUUAAUCAGAGUAUAUGUUGAUAAUGCCCUUUAAUCAGAAUUAAUUCUUAGAAAUGAUUUUAACGGUAAUUCUGAAAGCUAUUGCAUGUUAAUUUUGAAGUCUGUCAUGUAUAUUUUUUAUAUAAUUUCUCUUUAAUUUAAUUAUAUAAUUAAAUUACAUGCAAUAAACCUACAAUUCAAGACUAGGAUUAAUAAAUUUAGGACCAGAAGUUUAUUCUGAAUUUAUAGAUUUGUAUGAAUUUGAUAAUCAUUUAAUAAUGUUUAAAGAAAUAAAUAAAACUUUAGAGAAAAUAAAAAAAUCGAUAGGAGGGAUGGAAGAAGACAAAUACAUCCACAGCUGUAAAAAUUGAAAAUAAAAAGAAUUAGGAGGGCUCAUAUGAUAUUUGCCAAAAAGAAAAAGACAAAGAACGUAAGGUACAUUGAUUGUAACUUAGGCGUUCCCUUUUAUUAAUACAUCCAAAGAAGAUAUGGGGUGUUAAAAGUUCUUUAUAGUGUAACUUUCAUUAAAGUUAAAAUUGUGAACUUCAUAAAGUAGGUUAGUGCUUUUGAGGGAUGUGAGAAGCUUCACUCGAUUUUAAGGUCGAUGAUUAAUUACCACAAAGAUUGAUGGUUGUAGUCAAGUUGAAAUGUUAUUGGGCUUUUAUAAAAUAUGUUUUUGGCCAUUUACGCUUACUUACUUGGGUCUAAUUAUGGUCAUGUUUGAUAUAAAAGCACUGUAACUUAAAAAUUACUGUUGCUGUAGAAAAAAAUUAUAAUUAUGAAAUAAAAAUUAAUAAUUUGUAGUAAAUAUAAAUUUUAAAUAAUAAUUUUGAUAAAAUUAUUAAAGAUAUAAUAGAUUUUUUAUGAUAUAAAUGAAAAAUCAUAUCAACAUAACUUCAAAGUUAUAGCAAUUAGUGUUUAACAAAUACUUUAGUACUGUAAUUUUUAAGUUACAGCUGUCCAAACUCAAUCACAAACGCAUCCUAUAUAUAACGGGUAAUGCUAAGUUACAUGCAUGUACCUUACAUCCCUCUCACAUGAAUAGUGUAUGGAUACUAUUCAUGUGAGAGGGUUGUAAGAUACAUGCAUGUAACUUAGAGGGAUCCAUAUAUAACUAGUAAAUUGCAGUGAUAUUUAACUUUCACAACUUAUUUCUUUAUACCUCUUUUUUUUUCACUUGAAAUGUCUAAAAUACCCAUUAAAACAACUUAGAUUUUCAAAUUUAUCAUUUCUUUUAUCUCUCGUCUCAUUUCCAUAUUUUUUUUCCUUUUGCAAACACUCGUCACAACUAUUCACAAGUUCACAGAAAUAGAUGUUUUAGAUUGAAUGGUAUAAGUUAUUUUAUCCAUUGCCAACAAGCACACCGACGCUAACAAUCGACGACUCAACAAUCCUCUCCAAGGUUUUUAACAUUUUAUUUAGGGUUUCAUUUUUUUUUUUCACAUUUUUUGCAGUUUUUAUUGAUUUCAUUUAUUUAUUUCAAUGAGUCAAGACUUUUAAAUUCAUAUUGUAUGGACAUGAAGAAUUCCAGCCAAAGAAAACGGCUUUAGCAUCCAAGUGAUUUAUAGUUACAAAUGUGUUUAAGGAUACAAAAAUCUUUAGAAGAAUUAAUGGGCAUAAUCGCAUAAGAAGAUGAGAUAUGACACGAAUAGUUGAAUUUGAAAAAAAAAAUGAGUAAGGAUGUUUGUGAAAAUAAACAAAGAUAAUUAAGAAGUCGGACACUUGAGAUAAAUUUAAGAGUUAAAAUAUCAUUAUUUGCAGGUAAAAUGUCUCUAAUAUAAAGGAUAAAUGAUGGGGUUGCUUCUAUUUCAACCCAGCUAAUUAUCUUAGAAGUCUUCCCUUGUUAGUUUUAUAAUUUUAGUUUUAUAAUUAUACGUUCAUCCUUUAAUCUAUCAAAAUUACAAAAAAGGACAAAAUAUAAGUCAUCCUGUAAUUUAUCCAUAAUCUCGAAUUGAUAAGUCACACAACACAUGAACACGGUACUUGCAUUUUGGGGAAGGGGGGGAGGAGCAAGAACUAGAUACUAGGCACAUCAACUUCGUACAACUAAUCUGAUUAUGUACACUUGAUGGCAAGUAGUAGCAGUAGAUCUUAUGGACAAGUUAUACAAGCUUAUAUAAUUACCUCCUUUAAUCACAAACUAAAACUUCAGUUUAUUCUAACACAAAACAUAAAUGAGAAACAUCCCCAAGCCUUAGUAAUAAAUAUGCUACGAGAACACCUGCUGAAUUUGCAUAACCAGAGUGAUCACCAUAGCAGACAAGCUACACAACCAUAACGGAAAGGCAUUGAUUUCUGAAUAAUAAGGUCAGUUGUAGGAUAAUACCAAAUUCUCACAGCACUUAAAAAUAGUACAUACGCAGCAUUAAGACUAACACUUUGAUACUUAACCACUAGCAAACAGCAGCACUAUACCGUCCUAUUUCUCUCACAUAAAAUUUGUAUGUGAGCUGGCCAUGAUCAUGGUCCCAAACGGUAUGGACCAUCAGCCAUGUAGUGUCCAUCCAUAUAAAGAGAAGCAGCAUUCUGAGGAUGAAGGCCAUCCAUCACCAUGAAUUGCAUAUCUUCAGAAGGUUUCCAAUGCCGCUUCCUUUGGUUGAUAAACCAGUUGUUUAUCUGUUUCUGAUCCAAGCCAGUUGAUUCAGCCAAUGCCACCUUCUCUGUCUCCUGUUAAUUAUUAAUUAUCACAACAAAUUUUAGUUACAAUGCCCAGCUAAAAAGGACAAGUUGUAUUCAAUUUCAGGAAGAUAGAUAUACAUACCGAAGGAUAAGGCCAUUUAUAGUGUAAUUCCCACCAGUUAAGUAGCUUUUGCCUGGCUUCUUUGGGUAGUUUCCCUUUCUUCUUUUUCUUGGACAGUUCUUGUUUGAGGCUACUUAAGUAGCCACUGUAUUUCCUCAAUAGGUGGUUCUUCAGUUCUCGAUCUUCAGCCCGGGGAUCAAUUUCAGGUAACUCUGUCUCCCCACCACUAUUUUCUUGAUCUUCUUCGGAGGAGCCAACGCCUUCACAUUUCUGAUCAUCUGUCCAUUUGUCAAAAUUAAACAAUAUAUAUGUGCCCUUGACAGGUGACAAAAUUAAAAUGCAUCAAACAGCAUAUUAUUGCAAGAACCGUUGAGUUCCUAUGCAUAGGUUAACAAGAUGAGCUCCAAGGAAAUACCAAAAUGUCAAAAGAAGGAACAAUAUUGUGACCUCGUCUGUUGAAUUUGUCACAUAGGAAGCAAACAUAACCACCAAUCGCAGGAUUAGCAUUUAGGAACUCCAUUCUACGAUUAGCAUUUAGGAACUCUCACUAAACUUGGCUCGGUCUCAUUCAGAUAACCAAACUAUAUUAUUAAGUGCAUGAUCAAUUCAAGCAACUUUUUUUUUUUUCCUCACUGUCAGUGCUCAGUGGAAUUUAAUUUUUCUCUAAUGGACCUCAAAAUGCUAAUUCCUCACUGUCAGUGCUCAGUGGAAUUUAAUCAAUUCAAGCAACUUUUUUUUUUUUCCUCACUGUCAGUGCUCAGUGGAAUUUAAUUUUUCUCUAAUGGACCUCAAAAUGCUAAUUUCAGUCACAUUUAUUGCUAGAACGUGUCUCAUCUGAAACGAUUUUCAGAGUCAUCUCAUAAAUCUUACAUCAUCAAUCUAAUCAAUACAGGAAAGCAACAUUUAAAAGCUAUAUGCCGCCCUUCAAGACAAGACAUAUUUCACUUGAGAACAGGCUCCAAUAUUAAAUGCUCAGUAUGAGAAUAUGAGCAUAUUAAACUCCAAAAAGUUACCAACGUUUAAAAAAAUAAUCUUCUCAAAAAAAAUAAAUAAUAAAAAAUGAUCCAUUACAGUCAAUUCAAACCUAGUGGUGGAUUGUUGUUCUCAAUGAAAAGGAUAAUUUUUCCUCUUUGUGCAAAUCCUGUAAAAGAUCCCCUCACAAAAGUGGAUGAAGAAGAUAUAUUUCUAUAUAUAUCAGCAAGGGGUAGAUCACUUCUAGUUCGCGUAGAUUUUCAAACUAUGCUUAAUAAAUAUAAGUAUAUAAAUCUGGUUGACUUUAUAAUAUAAUGUCACAGCAGUACAUAUAGGAUAUGAGAUUGUAAACAAAUAACCUAAAAGCACAACCCGUACUCAUAAAAAAAAAAAAAGAGGCGGAACCAAAUAUAAAAUUAUGAAAAGCACAACCCGUACUCAUAAAAAAAAAAAAAGAGGCGGAACCAAAUAUAAAAUUAUGAAAACUUAAACAAGAAUUAGCCCUUGGCAUCCAAUUCUCUUUUUAAAAGAUGGUGCUCACUUCAAACAGAAGACAUCACAAAGAAACAAAGUGGAAACACAUGUAAAUGAACAGUUACUCAACUCAUGCUCAAUCAAGGUCACCAAAAUAGCAGUUGACAAAUUCUAGGAGGAUAAAGCAUUAGGAAACCCAUGAGAAUAAAGUAAACCAGCAAUGCACCACUGAUAAACUCAAUGUUUCUUGCUUUAGUAGUCUAAGAAUAGCAAACUUUCACAUGAAGCUGAACUAAUUGAUCUCCUAACUAAUAAAACAACAUAAUUAAACUCUUCUUGCCAUUCUUGAAUUUCUUAUGACAAUACAAGCCCUAAAAUUUGCUCUAAUUGGCAUUAUUUUCUUCAGCAUGACAUUUACACAUUACCAGUUGGGAAAAAUACGGGAGUUCAUUGGAGCAAAAACCAUCCUAUGCUUAGAUGCUGUAUUACUGCAAAUCUACAGUCAUAUAUAUCUGUGUUUCAAGCAGGCAGGAAGAGAAAUUCUCAAUUCAAUUUAAGUUGGCUACUCAUUUUAAAAUUAAUCUCAAAAUUCCUAUCACAGAUGAGGAGAUAUGUGAUGUGAUAUUUUUUUUAAUUCUCACAAUUUUUAAGGUAAUUAGUUAAACAUUGCGAUGUGAUUAUAUGCAUAAGCUUCUAUACACCUAAUUUUAAAAGUACCUUUUAAAUAAGCCAUGAGAAAGAGAUUGAUGGAUGCUAAUUGUAAGUGGAGCGUCAAUCAGAUUCAGACCAUCCAGCACAAUAACCAUCAAUCUAAAUUAAAAUAAAAUGCAUGAUACAUAUUAUGUUGGAUUGAGUUUCCAGAAAUCAAAGAUAAUCCUGCCCAAUUAAAUCAGAAUUAGCUCUCAUGGCCACCAGAUGGUGAGGCAUAUACAUAUAUGGUGAAUAAUAUAUACAUGGUUAAUUAAAAAUUAAUUUACUAUAGACUGACUUGACUGAAGCCUGAGCAUAUCAAUCUAAGUCAACACGCUAAUAGAGCCAAUUUCUUAACUACUUUCAAGCUUUUUUGAUGACAGUAAUUUCAAGCAUGCUUGAUGGACAGUAAACAAGCUCCUUUACUCUUAUUAUAUGGUUAAUCUAAUCAUUAAACUGAACCAUAUAUUAAUGUAUACAACCAAGCUCCAAUCAACAAGCAGUGCAUAGAUUAGAGUAUUUACUAUAGUUAAACCUUCGAUUUUAUGGAACCAUAACAUGUACAUUUCCUGGGCGAAUUGCCAAAACUCCAUGAAGUACAUCAAAAACAUAGAAGAAAUUAAUUACACAUUUAACAGGUAGAGAGAAGAGUUAACAUCAUCACCAGAUCUACUUUCAAGUCUUCUGUACCAUGGAUCAAGAUUCAGAAACCAUGAUUCCGUAAACAAGUUAUUGCUGCUAAAGGAGCACUCUCUCUACUAGUGCAUGAAUUUGUGAAAUGAGUUACUUUCAGUCAUUUCUGAGUAAUCUGGCUAAUGAAACAAAAUAUACUAUUCCCACUCCAAGGCCAAGAAAGAAAGUAUACAGGAACAACUCUUAGAAUAAGCAUGAUUUGUUGAUUAAUUUUGCAACCAAAUUGAGAAAUAAAAUAAAAGCGGCCCAAGAGUGAACGGAAAAUAAUUUGUACAAAUACAAAGAAUUUAGAAUUUUUAAUUUGAAAAUAUAAAAAUUUCUGACCAAAGCCGUACAGGCUACAUGGGGCAGCACUGAUUUGAACAGCAUCCUAUGUUCUCAAAAUUUCAUUACUUUAUUGAAGAAAAAACAAAUGGAUAUAUUUUUUUGCUAUUUCGAAGCAAAGAAUAAACUACGGGAACGACGACCAGAUGAUGCCCUACCAUAUCGAGGCAAUUAUAUGCAUUUUCUUAUAAACCUAAAGAAUCAGAUCUAGUAGAAUAAGAACAAAGAUACAGUCGAGAUUUUUGGGAACAGAAGCCCUAAUAAUUAAGAAUGGCAUUAAGUUGUUAGCAGAAUCAUUUUUCUAUGAAGCUACUUCCAGUAUAAACUACUGGGUUAGUUUAUAUCUAAGCUCCUUUUCAAGAGGAUUUGUAUGAUAUAUUAAGUAACAGAAUCUACUAUAGAAUCGUGAUUAGGGUUUUAAUAGGUUUGGGUUUGUGGUCUUGUAUACUUAAUUCUCCUACAUUAUUGGAACGUGCAAUAUGGGUCAAAGCUUCCUUCUCCGGGAACGGGAAUUAAUUGGCUAUUCAAUGCUUCAGGUACGACAUUUCCGAUGCACUAUUCAUUCCAGAGACCGAGACUAUCAGUCUGUGUAUUAUGCUACGCACAACAGCCAAAAAGAAACCCAUACCUGCAGCGUCAUCAAAACUUGAUAUGCAUACACGUGUGUACAAUACAGGAAGAAGAAAUUAAUUACCAGUGGAGUUGAAGAUCCGAACGGGGCCAUUGCUAAGCAUAUUAAGCUGAGUUUCGAUCCGCCGGAUGAAAUCCAUGGCUUCUUGUAUUGGCCUUGUUAGCUCUUCCCGAUAUUUCACUAGCAUGUCGUAAUAAGCCUCCUGUGUGUUGUUGAUUGGAAUAAUAAUAUGUGAACCUUUAAUUAACGAGACUCAGUAGUCAAAAAAGUUGAAUUUUUUUUUUUAAAAAAGUAUCACCAUAAAUUGAUCGAGUUCUGGGUCUUUAUUAGUAGAGUCUCUCGAAUUCACCGACGAUCGCUGCCUUGACUCGAACUCCUGUCUAGCAGCUGCAAGCCGAGCCACAACUUCAGGCGGAGCUCCGACCUAAACAAAAGCAACAGCCAAGAUUUGAGGAAGAGAGUUAACUAAUUAAUAGGCAAGCUCUUAAUAAGCGUCGUGUUAGUUCAUUAAGUAAGAACCUUUUGGCAAUCCACGUAGGCUUCCAAAAGGCUGGAAUACUGAGGAUGGGAGAUGAUCUUGGCUUUAAUAGCUUCUGUUUCAGAGCUCUCAUUUCCUUCUUGCUGUGAUUGAUGAUGAUGGUGAUGCCCUUCUCUCAUCAUAUUAAGAGAGUAGAUAAGCUGCGAAGUGCUGGCUUCAGUUUUCACAAUCGUCGGAUGAUGUGUGUGCGCUUCAGGCGGUGGUGCCCGCUCAGAUUGGAAACAAGUACUGCCACCUGAUUGUAGGUGAAAGCUGUUGCUGCUGUUGCUUCUUAUAGGCAUCUGACCAUCACUUGCUCGACCAUAUGCUGAUGAUCCAACAACUUGAGAAGACGAAUACAAGAAAUUUCCUCUAGGAGUCGUGUUCUCGUUUAGACUGUUGUAACCCUCCAUUUAUCAACAAACCCAAAAGAAACAAAGAAACAAAAUAGAAACCCUAAAGCAAGCCCAAGCAGUAGGACUUGUUAGUGGAAACAAACAGAAACCCUAGAGAGUAUAGACUUGUCAUUUAUACCAAAAGGAAAAAAGGAGAUUUUUCAUUGCCAUUUCGAAUCUACUGAUUUGGGCAAUUUUGGCAAUGAAACGGCAGUCUGUCUAUCCAGGAGGUCUUGAAGUGAAAUUGCACCAGGACUUGUGCAUGUUAUAGAUCGAAAAAAUAUAAAGAUUAAAUCAAUAUAUAAAGAGUGAGAAUUGUUCUCGCAUGACGGUUGGAACUGAGGAAGAAGGUGCUGCUUAGCCGGAACCGGCAACGGCUGCUUGUCUUGAGUGGUUGACAAGACCUUUUUUUUUCCCUUAAUUAGAAAAGUGAAAUAUUUGAAAACUAAUAAAGGCGAAGAAAGAGUGUCAUGACCAUGAGAUAUAUGGCAGCUAAUGGAUUGUAGAUAUUUCUUUCUCUCUCUUUUUUCAUAUUUUAUUACACUUUCUUUCUUUCUUUCACGGACGAUCCAAUAAUUUCCCCUUGCUUUAGUUUUUUAUCUUUUUUUUUUUUUAUAGGAACCUUAUUUUAGUUGCUCUUGGGCUUUUCUUAUUUGACAUUCUACUCCUCCACCUUUGCUUUUAUAGUCCCUAGCUAGAGAGAGAGAGAGGGCAAAGAAGGAUUAGAAAGAGCCGCUACCUCAUUUAUUAUUAGUUUAUAGAGGUUUAAAUUAUUGCACAUUUGUCAUUUGUCUUGGAACUAUUAGUUUAUAACAUCUCUUUUAAUAGUGUUAACCUUAUCUAAUAUUCUAAAUUUUAUUAAAGUAUAAAAAAGUUAUUGAAUUAUAUAAUUUAAUAAAUAUAAUACCAUUACAUUAUUAAAUCAUAUAAUUUAAUAAAUUUUACAAUUAUUACAUUAUUAAACUACACAGUUUAAUAAUUUUUUAAAUUUUAAGAAAUUUAAAAUCAUAAAUUAGAAUAUUUCUAUCCCUUUUAAUAAUCCAUAUUUACGUCCAUGGAGAAGUCUAAAUUUGAACAUCACAUGUAUCAUAAAAAUUUUAAUAUUAUUUAAAAAAAAUUUAUCUAAACUAUUUUCUUUUUUUCAUUAGUAUGAAAUAACUUCACUGAAUUUUUUAUUAACAACUCAAAAACCUAUAAUCAUUAUGUCGAAUCAACUAUCUUCUUACUGAUUUAAUCAGCUUAUAAAAAAUGAACAAAAAUAUUUCAUAUAUACAUAAAGACAUUUGGUGCGCAUUAUCACGGCAUUCAAUGAUGGAACAUUUAUAUUUAAAAAAAGAAAAGAAAAAGAAAAGAUGGUACAUUUAAUAAAAAAAGCUAUAUAUAUUUUAAGCUCCCAAUGAUUAAAUUUCUAACGUUUUUAUAGGCAUUUGCAUAUAAAUCAGAUUACUUGCUAGAAUCAAAACUUUUAGCGAUUUUUAUUGUAGACAUAAUUGUUACUUGUAGGGAUGACUUAUAUUUGGAAGAGGGAAUAAAAUACUAACCACCCAAAGAAUGAUAGUGUCGGAUAGUAAUUAUAUGAUAGUGUCGGAUAGUAAUUACUUCUUAAUCAAUACUCUUUUUAGAGGAUUAUUCUUAAUUAAUACUUAAUAAUGUCAAAGAACCGAAACUAAUUAAUAAAUAUAAGUAGUUUAAAUGGAACUAUAACUAUGAGAUGCAAUGGUAGAACGUAAUCUUUAGUCCCGGUGCCAUUUUGUUUUAAAAGAUGGUUUAUAAGGGUCAACAUUGACAAAAAAAUAAAAGUUAAAUUUGUAAAGCAAAUAUGCCAAAUAGGGGUCAUAUUGUAGUAAAAUGGAACUAAUAGGGGCCACGUAAUAAUAAGUCUAAUAUUUUGGUCAAAUUUACCAAACAUUACAACUCUUAAUUAGGGAUGGCAAUAGGAAGGGGAGGGGAGGGGACCAAUCUCCCCGUACCCAUUUAUGAUAUUUUGCGUAUGUCCCCGUCUCUUCACCGUCCCCGUCAGAAUUACUUGAGAGAAUCUCAAUUCCCUCCCCGAAUAAUAACAGGGGAUUCCCAAGGGUCCCCGAUCCUCGAAUAACUAAUACAUUUUUUGUUUUCGAUUUUGAGUUAAUUAUAUUAAAAUAGAAAAUUUAAAUAAAAGUAAAGUUUAAAAUAUAUCUUAUAUUAAUAUCCAUUACAAAAGUCACAUAUAUUAUAUUAGUAAGUAACGCAGCAUGUAAGGGAUACAAACUUCUUUUACAAACUAUCGUGAAUAAAUUAAUAGUCUAAUACAAAAUUGUUACAAAUAAAAUCGAAUUUAGAUUCAAAAUUAAUUUUUUCAAUGUUGCCGUUGGCACUUUAUAAAUGUGGAUUAUUCCCUUUACAACACAAUAGUUAAGUCGGAGCAAAUCAAGAAUAAAUAUUAGAUUAGACUAGAUUAGAUUAAAUUAGAUAUUAAAAUUGUGAUUCGCUGUGAUCGGUAAAAACGUUUCCCCGUCCCUUCCCCGAAUAAGAAAUUGGGUAUAAAAUUAUCCUCAUACUCUCCCCGAAUGGGAAAAAUCCCCAAGGAUACCCGUCCCCGUGGGAAUUUUUGCCAUCCCUACUCUUAAUACCCUAUGGGCGUGUUUUGUAGUUUUCACCCCGCAUGCUGCAUCCGUAUGCGUUACGAUGCACCGUAAUACGUUUUGCCUAAUAGGCAGUUUGACUCAUUAGUUUUUUCGCCAUUUUUUUAAUAUCAUAAUAAAUAAAAAUAAAUUUGUAAUUUAAUAUUAUAUUAUCUAAUAAUAUAUCUAACAUUAAUUUUUUUCUUUUUCUGCUGUACCGUACAUCCGCCUUGGCCGUACAGCAGACAAAUAUUAUUUCAUAUAAUAUAGUUUAUGUUGCACCAAACAUAAUAUUGUAUUAUAACUUAAUACAUGUAAAUGCAACACGCCAUUAUGUAAUAUAUCUAAUACAAUACAAUAUAAUAUCUCAAACACACUUUGAUUUCAUUUCUUCUCGAGUUUCUGCACAUAUACGUCAUUAACCACGUGGUAAAUCACUUUCCUUUCUACGUUAGCGAACAAAUAUUUUUUCUUUCUAUGUAUUAAUGGGAAUUACAUGCUUUUUGCCUUAAAUAUUUAUAGGUCGUUACAACUGAGGACAUAAUUGUGUUAAAAAAUUAGGAAAAGAUAAAGGUUUUGAUGAAAUUCACCUUAUCUCUAUGCACAUUUUAUAUUUGGCUCUUUUUUUUUUUCCUCAUGCUAUAGUCUUAUUAAAUUUUUCAUUUCCCCAUUAUAGCUUUCCUCGUUGAACCAAAAUCUUAGUGCAGCCUCUAUAUCUAACCAUUCUAUGCCUACAUGUCACCUAUUAUCCUAAAAUUUUCUAAUGAAAGUGGUUUAAAAACUAGAAAUGAUAAGAUCUAUACUAUAUAGUGUGUUUUUAAUGAGAAUUUCCGCAUUUUAAUAAAAUGCGAGGCGAACUUUUAUACAUUAUGAAAUAGUUUAUAAUGUUAUAAAAGACUCAACAACGACGUCAAAUUCUAUCUCACACUUUAAUAAAGUGUGAGAAUUCUGAUCGAAAAAUUUAUAUACAUAACACUAUACUGAGCUAAGUCUAAAAAAUUUGCUCUUUCACGUAUAAAGUAUCAACUAUCAACCGAUUAACCUUCUAGAAUACGCCAGGCUCGUUCCCCUUUAUGUCUCUUUUCUUCUUUUUCUCCAUAUAUAAAUAGCUAGCAAGUUGCUUCUAGAGAUGGCAAAACCCCGGUCCGGGUCUGGGUCCGGGCCGGGUUUUAUCCGGGUACCCGAAUUUUAUGUUUUUUACAAGUGAUGCCAAAGACUGACCCGGCUUCAUACCCGGGUCGGGUAAUACCCGGCCCGCAACGCCCGGGUACGGUCCGGGUCCGGACCGGGCGGGUAUUUUUGCCAUCUCUAGUUGCUUCGUGGAUGGAUAAUUAUUCUUGCUCUUCUGGUUCUUACAAUUAGCUUGGUGCUUGAACUCUAUUAUUUUUUUAUUAUAAGAACAUAAAAUUUUAUUCAAAAAGAAAAAAGAAGAAGAAUAGAAAUUAUUUCCAUUGCAUUUUGGAAAACUUGUUCCACACCCACAUCUUCGAUACAUAGUAAUUCGAGAACAAAACAUUACUUGUUCAUACAGAAUCAGCACGUAAGCAUUUAUCUCAAAAUUUUGGAAUUACACUCUAUUGUUUAGAUUCCAUUGCCAUUAUAAAAUCAAAGAAUCUUAAGAUCCUGAUCUGAAAAUUAUAAUAUACAUACAUAUAUACAUACUCGUUCUUUAUUUAUUUUUUUUAAUACUAUCCCUGUCUGUUUUUUAUUUUCCUUUUUUUUCUUUUUUGCCAAUAUGUAAUCAAUAGACAUUAGGAUGCAAGGAUUACUAAUAUAAUUACUGUUCACCUUGUCAUUUCCUCAGUUCCAGCACUAAAUAAAUCGUUUGUUACCGCAUGAUAGUGCAGCUUAAAUAUGCAAAGUAAUUAUGUACACAAAAGGUAAGUCGAUUGCCCCAUAAAACUGUGAAUGACUAUUAUUAUUUAAUUUGCUGCUAAUGAAUUAAUUAACUGAACCAAACUGUAUAACUUCUUAUUUUUAACUAAAUUUAAUUUGAGGAGUCGAAUCUUAUAUCUUAUCAAAACAAAUCCCAGGUUUUAUCGCUCAAAAAACCCAAAGCAGAUAAGCAAUGAAGAGACUGUGGCUAGUCAUUAGAAGUAUGCUCAAAGCUCUUUUCCAAAUUUAUACAUGUUUGCCUCUUAAAUAAAACUGUACUCCGUAAGAGAACCAUGUGGGAAAAUGACGUAGGAUAAUAACACCAAUUCUAUAUUUAAAGGUUUUAAAUUAAGAGAAAAUUUUGUGUAAAUGAAAGUAUCAAUCCUUAUUGAAGUGACAUGCUUAACCAAUCAAUUUCUUCUAAUGGUAGGGUAAUCAAAACUUUUAUAGAACGGGCCUUGUAAAGCUAUUAAACCAAUCAAAGUAACCAUAAAAAACAAUAUUAUGACUUUAGCUCACAAAAAAAAAAAAAAUCAACUAUACUUGACAAUGAUCAAAUGGUUAAACAACCCACAUCACCAACUUCCUCAAAUUUCUCUCUUGAGAAUAAUGAACACGGGCGAUCAAACCUACGUAGGUCAUCUUGGGCAAUAAUAUCUUAAAAAAUAAUACUGAGAAGAAGGUCAUCUUGGCCAGCUAGCUAGCUACUCUAGACCUAGGGCAACCUCUUCUGACAGGCACCAGCUAGCCGCCUUGCAACCACAAAGAUGCUAUAUCUGAUCACGAUUCAUGAAUUAAUUGACGCAUGUAGAUUAUGACUAUGUAUUACAAUGAGUAUUUAUGCAGCUAGGUAUACUAAUAACGCACAAGCCAAGAGAAGAUACAUAACUGAGCAGACAUCAAGUUAAAAAUUAAAUGACAGGAACGACAACCACCUAUAGAUUUAAAAGCUCAUAAAGUCAUGUGACCUCGCGCAAUGUUGUUGGAUGUACUGGUGUGCAAAGUGAUGUGCCAAAUGAAAGAUCCGUAUGUGUAUAUAUAGUACAAUAUUCAACGGUUAACAGUGGAAAAAGGGCCCUGAUCUCAUUUCAACUCAGCUGCGAGUCUGAAACCGAGCAGAUUGUACUGUUUAUGAUGACCAUUUGCAGGUAAAAACAACGUGUGUCUGCAAUAUUUGCCAAGAAAUCAGAUGAUUGUUUUUAUUAAUUAAUAAUCAUGGGCCUCGUUGGCUCAGCAACGCAACGAGGUAUUGUAUUUGUAUUAGCUGGCGGCGACGACCCCCACUCCCCCACCAUUUUAUCACGUAACAUAAUAAUGCUAAAGACACAAAAAGAGAGACCUUUGAUUGACGACUGAAUGAGAUUAACACCCCCCGAAAGAUGCGCGCUACAAACUGUGGGGGCCAAAGCUCCUCUUUUAGCCUUUUGCUUUCAUCAAUUUCAUUUCAAAAAUCAAUUAACACUUCUUCUUUUUUUCUUUCUGAAAUUUCCAACUCACAGUCAGAAAACACCAGGAUGGAUGGUUACUAUUCAUCUUCAUUUGUCAUUCAAGGCAAUUACUCAGCCACUACUUUUUUUUUUCUUAAAGAAAAAAAAAAUCUACUGCACUUCGCCUCUUCCCUAUGCAAUUUACUAUUUACAUUGUACAUUACUAUUAUUAUUACCAUACAUUCUCCUGUUUUAAAUAAAUAAAUAUUGUUAGGUUUUUUUUACUUUGCAUAUUGCUACCAAGGAUCAUUCCCCGUUUCCCCUGAUGAUUCACCCAACCCUACCUUUCAUCUAGGUAAUUAAAAGUGUUCUAUUAGUAAAUAAUAAUUAAUGUAAUAAUAGUUAAAUGUCAAUCAUGCAGCAGGCAAAACAAAAUCUUUGAAAACUCAUUAAAGUUGAGAGAAUCAUAAUUCUUAAAAAAAGAAAGAAAGAAAAAACCAACUACAUUAAUUAUCUGGAAUAUUAUGACUUCAGAAGCAUCAAUGGGAAGUAAUAAUUAGCUACAUUUGUCAGCCGCUAGCCAUAAAAGGUCAUCUAAAGUAAAUGGAUGCUUUACUAAUGUCAUUAACAUUUGUUAAUGGGAGUCAAUGUAGCUUACUGAUUUGGACUAAUCAAUAUUCUUGCCAAUAAUAAAAUUUCGUGGCAAGUUUUCUUCCGAACAAUUACAUUAUGGUGAUGCGUUCCUCAAACUACAGUUAUCUUGUCCAUUAUUGGUUUGGUGCCAACCUUUUGCCAGUCAAAUCAUCACCUUCAAUCAUCAUCUGAAUGAGCUGUUCCUGUCAUGUCACCCAAACACAGGCCAGGUCUACGGAUUGUGGUUGCCGUGGUAACAUUAAUUCUAAAAUAAUGUUGUUUUUCUUUUAAUUUUUUUGAGAAGAAAUAAUGUUGUUAUUCUACGUAAUAAUUGCAAAUCACAGCUAUUAGGAAUAGUCUUUCCCGAUCAGCUAACACAAGCGCCCUUCCAUCCAAUCGUAAUAAUCUUUCCCUAUUUUGUCCCAAUGCGGGAAAAUUUAUCACUCAUCAAUAUGGGUGUUCGUGAAUUAGAUUUUACGGAUUGGACAUUAAUUUAUAUUCGAUCUAUAAUUUUAUAGAUUAUAAUUUUUUAAUCCAAUCCAAUCAAUGAAUUAAUAAAAUUCAAUUCAAAUUCAAUCCAUACAUCUACGGAUCGAAUGUAGAUUUGACUCAAUCCAUAUCUAAUCCAACGCGGAUUUGACUCAAUCCAUAUCUAAUCUAUCAUUUUACACAUUAGUUUUCGAAUUAAAAAUUUUUAGUUCUCUCGAACUAAUGAAAUAAAAAAAAUCUAAUAUAAAAAUAAUUUUGCUACCAAUUAAAUUUAAAAUUGAAUAAAAUUUAAAUAAAGCUAAAAUAAUACAUUUAAAGUUUCAAAAUAUAACACAUCAAGACUAAUUAUUCAAAUAAAGUUACAAUAAUACGUUCAAAGUUUCAAAAUAUAACACACCAAGUUUAAUUGUUCAAAUAAAGUUACAAUAAUACGUUAAUAUAACACCGAAAUUAAUUGUUCAAAUAAAGCCACAAUUAAUUGAAAUGACGAAGUUUCCAAACACAGUCUGAUCCUUCACUAGGGCUGUUGUGCCUGCCGAAAAGUGGUGAUUACGGAGCCGUCCGCAAUGGGAACCAGGAGAAGUCGUACGGGUGGCGAUCUUAAAGGUUGUGAUAGUGAAAUUGUUUAGCUGGAACCAGUGAAUGUGAAGUGGCUCGAUGGACUUGGGAAAGGGAAAGAAGAUGGCUUGCUCUCGCCGGAAUCGCGCGGCCAAUGUCCUUCGAAUCCGUGUCGAGAGUGUAUCCAACCAGUAUUGAGUGUUGCUAGUGUGUGUGACGGCGGAGAAACUUAGGGUUUUUUGUUUGCAAAUUGUUGGUGACUUGGCGUCAUGUUACUUUACUUUUGGGUGACUUUGUAAAUUGUUUUCGACUUGGCGUUAUGUUACUUUGCUUUUGCUAGUGCGUGUGACUUUGAUUUUAUUUUGUUUUAUAAUUUUUACAAGUUAUAUUUGUAUAUUUGAUUAUUUCAUUAUUUUUCAUUUUAUAUUAUUAUUGGGUAAUGGCUAAGAUAUCUUAUAGUGCUUACGUAAUUAUGUGAUGUCACAUUUAUAUUUUUUAAAUUAAAUUUAUAAUAAUGUUUUAAUUACAUUUUUUUUUUGCGGAUUCACGGAUUUCUGAGGAUUUACAGAAGUAAAUUCAUAUCCAAUCUAUCGACUGCGGAUUUUUAAAUUUUCAAUGCUUUUAAAUUUUCAAUGCAUAUCAAAUCCACGGAUCAAAUUGAGUGGAUCAGAUUGGAUUAUGAACACCCCUACUCGUCAAUGAAAGCAUUUUGAUAAUAAAUUUGGAAAACACACAAAAAAUGAAAUUAACAAAAAAAAUUUAACAACUGAUUUUGAAACAUUAAGAAACAAAUUGAUUUUGAAAAACAACAUCAUUUUCUUUAUUAAAACAACAUAAAAUGUCACGUGUUUAACAUUUUUUUUUUUUUUUGUUGACAAUACGUGUUUAACAUCUUUUGACUAUAUAAGGUGCAUGUCAUUUGAGUGUAAGCUUCGACGAUUACUUUCAAUAAGAUACUGCGAUAUAUAUAUAUAAAAAUCCCUGCAAGAAGAUUACAAAAUUUAUUAGGCUCGGCCCCCUUUUGGCUGAUUCUUUUGCAGUCCCUUUUUAGGAAAAUAAAAUAAAAUCAUAAACAUCCAUAUUACAACUUAGACUAGUGGGACUCUUUAAUGGUUUUGUUUAAUACUUGUUUAACCAACCACUCAAACUUAAUAAUUAACAAGAGCCCGAGAGGAAAAUGUUUGACUUGUAAAUCACAAAAUAAAAAAGUUGCAAUGACGCAUUUUUAUUAUCAGCCACACAAAUAACUAGGUUGGCGAGAUUAAUGGGAUGAUUAAGCUUAUUAAUAACCUACCAUCCAGCUGCUUACCAUUUAAACUCUAAAAAGGCCAAGGUAAAAAACAACUGUCAUUUGCUUUGCUUUAUUAGGUAACACAUUACUUUUCUUGUAUCUACUAGUACUAAUGAAGAGGUUUAGGGCCAUAAGCAGCUGUGUAACUAAAGUGUCCUUUCCAAGAAUGAUAAAUAGAUGGCCUAAUCACUUAAAGAUGGAAUAACAGUACCUAGCACUAAGUAUUGACUAAAGAUUGAAAGAGGAUUGUGUAGCUCUAAUCUAAUUGGAGCUUUUUAGAUGUUGAUUUGACUGAAAGAGAUAAAAGGUCAUGUGUGCUAGCAGAUACGACGAGAAGAACAAGUUAAAACAAUAAAGGGUGUGCAAUGAAUACUGGUAAUUGUUGAAGUGAAAAAUAGAUCUUCUCAACGUGUCAGAGAUCAAUGAGAUCAUUUGGAGCUAGUGUUGAUCAACUAGAAAUUUAUUAGUUUUUAAAUAAUUAAAAUUUUGGCAGGCCACCAGAAAUUGAAUGUUAAAGGCGGUAGAGAUUAAAAAUCUAAUUUAAAUUUUAUCUAUUUUCCACCUUUUCUUUUUUAUAUGACAAAUAACCAAAAAUUCCAUUUUUGUCAUUAUAAAAUGUACACCACAUUUGUAAACAAAUAGUAAAUUAGUUUACCAAACACAAACAAUAAAUUAUUAAAUAAGUUAUUUUUAUAUAAUUUCAAUGUACCGAACAUUUUAUUGAAAUAUUUUAUUUGCAUGAAUGAGAGAACUCGCCGGUCUCCUCAACUACAGGUUUACGUGAUUACACAUUUAAUAUUCUUUCUCUUGUGAUAAAAUUUCAGCAUCAUCCAGGAGGAAAAAAAAAUUAAAUUAUUAUAUAGAAUCUGAACACUAGCACUUUGAUGCCUUACGUAGGAUUAGGAAUGUUAAUUUUACUGAAGAUCUAGAGAGAAAUAGUGUUCACCGUAUGAUAAAUAUUAUGACACGUGAUAGAAUUUUGUGAUUCCUUAUAACCUAAUGUUAAAAAUAUAAAUAACUAAAAAGCAUCAAGUGCCACUUUUGCUCACCAAAAAGUGAGCACCGUCGUUGAUUUUUGUUAUGCACUCAUUGUUAAUUGGGAAAAUAUCCACCGUCCAUUUGUUUUUUUAAUUUUUUAAAAAAUACAUAAUUUUUUUUUUACUGAAAUUCAUCUAAAGUUACAUUUUGUUUCACUUUUCCACUCAUGUUUGGAAUCCGUUAAGAAAACUAACGGAAACUUUAAAAAAUGACUAUUUUACCCCCAAAACAAAAAUUACAAUUUCAACCUAAAAAAUACCAAAAAUAAUUAGAUUUAAUGAUUAGUAUCAUUAUUUGUACGUUAAUGAAGUACAAAAAAAUCUUAACUACUAAAGAUUAUAACUCAAUAAAUAAUAAAACUCUACUUAUCUUAAAUUCAAUUAAUGGUUUGCGAGAUUUGGCUAUUUUUAAUACUACUGUUAUAAUUUAGCAUUCUAAUUACGUACAUAUUUAAAAAAAAAACCCGUAUUUGAUGGUUGUGGAAUUAAUUUCUUUUAUUGAUCGAUGGAAAAAAUAUUUAGAUUUAAUCUGAUUAUUUUUGGUAAUUUUUAAGGUGAAAUUGUUAUUUUCGUUUUGGGGGGUAAAAUUAUCAUUUUUUUAAGUUUCCAUUAGUGUUCUUAACGGAUUCCAAACGGAAGUGGAAAAGUAAAAUAAAAUGUAACUUUAGGUGGAUUCCAGUAAAAAAAAAAUUAUGUAUUUUUAAAAAAGUUGGAAAAAACGGGUGGACGGUGGAUUUUUUUCCCUUAUUAAAUUUUGUUAGGAGUGUAAGUCCACCUCAUAAUAAAAAAAAUACUACAAAAAUUUGAAUCCAUUCAAUUUUACACCUAAUAUAUGUAAUUUUUAUCAAUCGUCUAUCAAUAAAUCAUAGUUAUUCUUACAUAAUGGCAAAAUAAAAACAAACACAAAUUAUAGUGGUAGUUAUUUUAUAAGAAUAAUUUUAAAUUUUUGGCGGAUAAUUGAUACACAUUUUAAGCAAUAAAACUUCAAUAAAUUUAAAUUUUUGCAAUAUUCUUUUAUAAUCGAAUAAUUUUUGGAUGGAUAACUAAAAUUGUCCUUUUUUUUUUUGUUAUUCAUAGACUUUGUUAGCAGGAAGAAUAAAAAAGACGUCCACUACUCAAUCAACUAGAUGUCAUUUCAGGACGUCUUAUUGCAUUUUAUUUUUGUUCUCAUUUUUCGGUGUAUAAUUAAUGUUCACACGGAACCUGAGAUGCUGCAAAACUAUAAGCUAGUUUUAAACUUUUAACUUCUAUUAAAUUACCGCUGGGGUGUGCAAUAAUAUUCUGGUGGCAUCAAGCAGUUAAAAAAAUAAGCUUAAAGGUACCACCACUCUCAUACGUCAUACAUUCACCAAUUUUGUGGAUUUCACCAAUAAGCUUAAAGAUAAUUACUUUUCGUCAAAGGAUAAAGAGAAAGAAAGCAAACGAAGAUAAGGUUAAAUACGAUUCAAUCUACUUAAUUAUUACUUUAAUGUUAUCUUAAUUUACAUUUGCAAGUAAUACUGGCGACAAAUGCAUUGUCACGCAUCAAAUUAACUCGCCUGUUUGGUCCUUUUUGUUGGCUUUAUACAUAGAUUUUUAAUAACAGAGAUCUUUUCUAAUUGAAAGCUAGCUUUACGUAAAGUUCAUUCAAUAAUCUCGUAAAAAUAAAUUAAACCUUUGCAUGUACCUGAGAAGUUAUAUAAUAAUAUUUUGUAAGCUCUCACAUGCACAAACAAAGGUACAUUAUACAAAUUAUAGUGGGUUACCAAAGUUAAUUUCCAGAGAGAUGAUAGGAUUCUUUUGAACUGUGAAACGUCAAUCGUCAUCAUAGAGGCUACUAUCUGAUGUCAACAGUCACAAACAAAGAAUCUUAAUCAAAUCUUCUUUUGCACCUAAUUUAUUUAUUACGCCAAGUUUAGCAUACCACCUUUUCUUCUCGUGGUUCACACACAUAUCAUAAUCUUUUUGGGGUUAAUAUCGCAUCAGAUUCACCCAGGUGGCAGCCUAAAAUGGUCGACCAUACGUUGUGGGCUCUCUUCAUAAUUUACAUUUUUUUUUUUUUUUGGGAAAUGACGCUCCCUAGUUUGGAUUAGUUAAUCCUGAGUAUCGGUAUGGCUCAUUCUUGGAAAAUCUUUGUUCCAUUUUUUUUUUCUAUUAACUUGUCCCUUCUGAUCUUAUAUGAUACUAUGAAAUGAUUUGAAUAACCUUCUAAAGAUGAAAAUAGUAUAAUUUUUUUUUUAAUGAAAGGAAAGCAGUUUCAAAUUGAACGUUGUUAACAUAAUUUGACUUGUAUAUGAGUAUGCAGGACCACUAAAUAUAGGACAAAUUAUUUAAUUUUGGAGCUAAUAAAAAGAAAUUCCAUUCCAUCAAUUGGUACAAUAAUAACUUGUUCAACAAAAGCUCAAACAAUCCACAUAAAGAUCACAUUAUGAGCGCAUUUGGCAGCUUGCAUUACACUACUGCAAUGUAUGAAAAGACUAUUUUUGUGCUAACCCAUAUUUGAUUGCAAUUUCUAAUUGUAUUGCACUGUAUUAAAAAUGUGACUAAUACAAUAAAAGAGGUAUAAAAUAAAUUGAUAGGGUAAAGUUUAAGUUGUAUUUGCAUUAAAACGUUGUUUAUAUUUUAAUUAUAAUUUUUUAACUUUUAUUAUUUAAUAUAUUAUAAUAAAUUUGAAUUAAUAUUUAUAUUUAAAUAAAAAAAUUAAUUUAAAAAAUAAUACAAGAGAGUAUUAACCUAAAUAUUUAAUAAAUAAACUUAAAUAGUAUCAAUUUAAUUUUAAUAUUAAUAAAAAAAUUAUAUCAUAUAAUACAAUCCAUAGUUAAACCAAACAUAGUAUUGCAUUAAAACUUAUUGUAAUGCGCCCUUAAUACAAUAUAUCAUAAUAUAAUAUAGUUAAUAUAAUGUAAUACAAAAACAAUGUGCCAAAUGUAUCAUAUAUAUAUAUAUAUCAAACAAAAUAUUAAAUUCUAAUAGUUUCAUGGACUUAAAUAAAUGGUUUUGAAGUAAAUUUAUUUAAUUAAUUAUCCGAUCAAAUUCUUAUCACAAAAAAAAAAAAAUUGUGUUACAAAAAAUUAAUUUAAAUUUUACCCAGCUUAUCUACUAACAAUUUAAACAUAAGAAAAUUAGGGCAUAAUAAUUAUGUACUCUCUUAAACAUAUUGUAGCUCCAUUUUGGCAUAUAUGAUCUUCAUCUCAUUUGACUCAUCCUCUGCUUCCACGAAGUAGGCUUGAUUGACUGAUCAAAUUACCCAAAAAAAAAAAUUCGAAUCAUAAAUAAACAUGAUUAACUUUCGUACCCUUGUCUUCAAAGAAGUAGACAUGAGAGCAAACCUACAUUCAGAAAAGCGAAAUUAUUUAAAAAAAAAUUAUGAUUGAUUUGGGGUUAGUAUUAUUAUAAUUAUUACUAUUAAUAAUAAUAUUUAAUUAUAAUAAAAAAUACCGUUUAUUUGGAAGUGUUAUGGCCGAGGGUUAGUACCUAGUAGCAAGCCAGUGGGACCUCAGUAAUAAUGGAGUCCAUUCAUUGAUUAAAAUAGAGAGAUGGAAAGUAGAAACACACAGUUCACAGACAAGACAGAAAUACCACUAGUAGUGAACUGAAGUUACCACACGAACGAAAAAAAAUACCAGACGGUGCAUGUGAGCGCGAGACGAUCAAAAGUUUUUUAUGACGGAUACUGAAGGGAAUGCUGAAUCACUGAUGUGAUGAAUUUACAUUUAUAAUGCAGUGCUGUGUUGGUGGGGUCUUGAUGAUCAGUUUUGAGUUUCAAGGGACCCAUACGGAGUGUCGUUUCGGUGGGAGGCGCGCGAGAACAGCGCGGGAGCUGUUUCCCGAUGCACAAGAGACUGCCAGUCCCCGCACCCGCACCCACUCCCACUCACUGCAGCUUUUCUUCUUUCUUAACUUCUUUUCUUUUCGCUCGCGAUUUUCCAUAUAGCUUGAUAUUAUAGUUAAUAAUAAAAAUAAUAAUAUCGCAUAUAGGCAACUUUCUGAUUCUUGUUGAUGGGGGACCCAUCCGUUUACCAUCACAUCAAAACGUAUGCGAUGAUGAUCAUCAUAUCUGUGAUUGAUUGACAACAGAGUGAUACCAAGCUCUUCCAUCUCUUUGGUGAAUACUGUUAACCCAUGUGAGUUGGGCCCCAGUUAAACCAACUGUUUGAGACAGGGAUGUGACUGUUUUUGGGUCCUAUCAUCAACACCAACAGCAGGACCAUUGAAUUGAAUUGAAUUGAUGUUAAGUUUUUUUUUUUUUUUUUUUCACUCUUCUCUUUAGCAGAUGGGAUGUGUCUUUCAAUCCGAUGUGAUGCCUGCCUCCUUCUGGCCCUCCCCCACUACCAUCGCCAUUUUUAAGCCUUAUUAUAUAUCCUCCAUCCACCUGUCUGCUUACGCAACUGUAGUGCUGAUACAUGUUUACUAGUUGUGUUUCAUGUUCCAAAGCCUUUAUAAAAUUAUUGAGAAUUUAAUGUCAUUUUAUGCUUUUAUAAUAUGGAAACAAUAUUGUAUGUGUCAUGUGCGGUUGAAUCUCUCAACACUCCCCAGGAGUCUCCUUUUCAUUAACUCACAUUUGCGUUAUGUGGUUGAAUAUUAUGUUUCCUUAUUGUUAUUAUUAUUAUGGUAUUGUGGGAUUGCCGUUGCUAUUGAUGUUGAUCUCAGAAAUCAUUCUAGAUGCUUAUAGAAUAUGAUUCAAGUGGCUGCUGCUAAUGGAGUGCAUAAGAAUUGACAGAAAUAGAAAUGCUGAUGUUUGACUGGAGGAGAAUCGCUUCUGGAGAUUUUAACCGAUACGAUUGUAGAAUCCUAGUGUAUCAUUAUGGACCCCUUAAGCCAAUAGACUUCCUUAUCACCCACCUAACUUUACUCUUUUUUUCAACGUAAUUGGGUGCUGGUCUUAUUCAAUCAAUUUGUUUUUCGAGAUUCUUUCUAAUUCUUUCACUGAGUUCUUGUUUCCCUUCCUGUGCUUUCCUUUGGGUUCAUCAUCAUCUGUCUGCCUGUCUCUGUCAGCUUAGCCUAUGGCUCAGUAUGGAAACGUGUUUCUCAGUUUUGGGCCUAACAUAAAGGCCCACUCUAUCUGGGCCGGAAUAGCUCCUCAUAUAGCUUUCACAAUUAUAAUGCGGAGGAUAGAGGAAAUAACUAGCGUCACAUGGUAAUGGUAUAGCAUAACCAUUAACGCAACAACAUUUUUAUUCUUUUGACGUGGGUGUUACACGAUGUAAAUAAGAAAUCAAACUUGUAAAUGACAAACAUAUGCACUUUAAACAUUGGUAAUCCACAAUCCAAGAAUAGAAAGUGACCUUUUUCUGGAAGAAGCGUCACUAGCAGCAUCAGGAACUUAAAUCAAUAGUCACCACGAGUGGCGACUCACCCUUGUCAACAACAAAUGUCUUCACAAUCUUCUUGUGGAGGGUGGGAAUUUCUAUAGUGUAUGUCCCAGGAAAACCUCUAAACGCGAAUUCUCCUUGCUCAUCAACAUGUCCUUGAGCAUGAGACAGCCACUCCUGUUUAAGAUUUAGGAACUUUUUACCAGCUUCAUUGAUGUCACCUUCUGCAUUAACCAAAUGUGCACUGUCACGGCUCAUAAACAACUCCCAAAAUCCCCACAGCAUUAUUCCUUCCACAGCAGGGUGAGCAAAAGCUUCUCGGAGCAUGACUUCGAGAUCCUCCCCUCUGACAUAUUCAUUAAUGGAAGACACAUCAAGCUCUGUAAACCAGAUUGGAAGGCCUAGGAUCCCCAGAUUAUCCAAAGCAGAACAAACAAUCGGUCCCACUGGACUAUCGAUGUGUCCUUGAAUUCCAAUUCCCCCUACAGGGGCACCUUGCUCCUGCAAAUUAAGUAUGUGUUCAAUGUACUUUUCCGGAGAUGAUCUGGGGUCACACCCAUCUUCAACAUGAUAAUCAUUCACAAACAAAGUGGCAGACAGAUCUAGCUGGUGUGCAGUCUUGAACAUAUAUGCUCGGAUAUCUUUCCCUAGUUUAUCUUGAUAGAAUGACCCAUGCAGCAUUUCAUUGUUCACAUCAUAGUGCCUGAACUUCCCCUUGUAUCGUGCGAGAAGCCCUGUUAGGCGAUUUUGAACAGCUGUCAUCAAGUCAUUUUUGUUUAGUGAUUGGAUCCAGGGCUGGACAGUGGCCUGUACUUCCCAGAAGAUGCAAUGACCUCGAGUCUGUAUGUUGUGGUUCAGGCACAGGUCCAACAUAUCAUCAGCAUCCUUAUAGUUGAAAUUUCCUUGUUGUGACUCUGUCCAAUACCACUUCAACUCAUUUCCGAACACAGCCCAGUUGAAGUAUUUUGUAAAAAACUUCACAAAAUCUUCAUUGUCUAUCUGUGAUCUAUUUAUGCAUGAACCAAUUGGAAAACUGUUUUGUGUUUGUUUCACUUUCACAAAGGUGCCAAGCAUGCUGCUGCAAUCCAGUCCUGACAAUUUCAGGACGACAUCACGCUUACGAAUCUGCAUUACAUGAAGUGAGAUUUAAUUAAAAACAAAGGCAGGGUAACAGAAUUCAAUGCUGGAAAGGAAUCGCUUUACUUAGUAAAGAUGAAAAUGGGAAGUAAAAGAAUUACCUUAUCAGUCUGCCUCCUCAAAUGUCUAAACCUUGCCUCACGAUCAACAGGAAAUAUCUGAAGACCAGCAACCAUUACAUCAAUACCUGAAGCAGGACCUUGUAUGUAAACCAUUACCUUCGAUGGUUGCUUCUCAAUCCUAAAGGACCCACCAAUUUCAUGCCACCUAUCGUCAUUUAUCUCAACUUGUCCUCCAUUGACCCACUGGUUGUCCACACCUAGUGCAAUGUUCACAUUUUGAGGACCUGUUGCACCGGAACCAAUACGCACCCAGGCUGCUACUUGAUAUGUCAAAAAGAGCUUCAGUUUCUCUGUGAUCAUUUGAGCUGGACCCAUCCAAGUCUGUGUACGAUUGGUCACAAGAAUAUAGUGGCCACUUAAAGGCUCAUGAGGUCCCAGGGAAUCUCUUGCCAUUGGAGGGAGUAUAUGUGGUGAGCCAGUUCCAAUGCUUAAAGUGCAAUUACCAAGGGGAAACCACCCAUUGGUGCCAUCACUUAGUUCACUGUUUGUGAUUAUGUUAACUCCAAAGGCUGGGUUCUGCAAACAAAAGUCAAAACCAAACAUUUUCAAUGCCUAAAACAACGAGGAUUGAAUUUCAAAAUGUUGAUGACAAAACUUUCAACCAAAAUACAGUAGAAAAAAAAUCGAAUAUAUUUUUCACAAUUUUAUCUGCUUAUUCAACUAACCUCAAUGAUUGGUGGAGGUGAAGGAGGGAUUUUCUCUGCAUGCUUUACCACCAAACUAUUUACAAGAAUAUCGGUGCCAGGAGGUGGACCUUCCAUAUAUAUAACUACUCUUGCAGGGGAACCAUUAAGGAGGAACUUCCCGUGCAGCUGUGCCCAAUCUUUGUCAGUUGCCUGUACACUGGCAAAGAAACCAGUUUGCUUUCAGCAGUGAAAGAAAUUGUAAAGUUGAACUAUCUACAACUGAUAUACCAAGCACAUAUUCAAUAAACAAAAUAGAAAUGCAUUCUCUCUGGUAUGAAGGAAAAGAUAAUUUCUUAAAAGCGCGAGAGAGAGAGAGCUUAUGUGAGAUGUCUUGAGAGAAUCAGGAUUGUUUAAGAUGGUGUUGCAGAAACUGCAAAUAGAAAACUAUAAAAGUUUAUGAUAAGGAGAUAACAAAUAAAGUAGAAACUUACUUGGCAAUGACUAUGUACUGAUCGCGUUGAUUUGGUGUUUGGACCCAUAAAGUUGCCUGUACAGUUGUAGUAGUAACAUUGCUACCAAAAAUGCGAACUACAGCAGUAACAUCAUAAGCAAGCUUUCGCUGCACUCUUCCGGUGAUCUCCUGCUGAAUUCCAUUCCAGCUUUGUGUGCGUUCUGUUGCAGAUGCAAAGACCUUUCCUGACAGUGGGACUAUUUUCCCAUCCGCCAUGGAAUCAUGUAAAACAAUUUUGCAGCCUCUUCCGGACCAAUUGUUGAGGCCAUCCUCAAAUUUGGGGUUGAGGAUAAUGUUCUCAUCUCCAGCAAUAUUGCACCCUAUGCUCUUAUUCUUUCAUAAUAUAGAAAAAAUGAAAUCAGAGUAAUCAAUAUUAGAUGAUAAGAAAAACAUUUUUGCAGACUGCUUCAGGUCAAAACUUAUGAAUUUUGAUAGAGCUGACUCUUACACAAGAACACUUAAGUUUAAGAAGCAAAUCUAAAUAAGAUAGAGAUGGCCAUCUUCACGAGCGUACUAUAUUUUAUUUCUUAAAUCAAAAUCAAAUAGAGAUGUCUUCCUUUUAGAACUGCCCUAAGUUUAAAACUUUCCAAAUCCAUGUAUUCAAGGGUUCCACCAGCAUUCUUGAAGUUGAGGUAAACUUAGGGAGAAAUAAAAGUACCUCACACUCACUAGGACUGGAACAGGUAAUCACCACCGAUCUUAUAAGAAGGUCCACUCCAGGUGCAGGUCCUUCCAAAUAAAAAAUGACCCGAUCAGGCACAGCUGACAAUGAGAAUGUGCCUUCCAAAUUUUCCCAGUUAUCUUUUGAUACAGAGGUCCUGCAUCCGUAAUACCAUUAUCACAUCUGUUGUUUCUCAAUAUAACGAGGAAAAAAUGACGUAAAUGAACUAACAGAAGCCAUUACUUUCCAAUAAAUAAAUAGCUCGUUUCUGAAUCUCGUUGUUCUAGUUUCAAAGUUGCCAGCACAUCAGCUGAUCCUUGAUGAGGCCCAGAUACUCCAACAGAAGCUGAAACCAAAUAGGUAAAACCAGGAGAAACUUUCUUUGUGAUAUCUUGCUCCAAUCCCUGCCAGCACUCUUUACGAUUUGUAACAACAGCGUGAUUACCAACUGAGUUUGCUGAUGUUCCUUCUGGAUAAUGUGAUUCAGCUGGAGCGAUGAAAGCAUGACAGCAAUUGGGGUGCCACGAGUGCAGCCCCAUAGAGAAAUCAUUAUUUACAAUGAGAUUAGCAGCAGUACUAGUGCUUAAAUUGAUCUUGUUAUGUUCUGCAAUCUGUCAGCAAAAGUAGAAGUCAUGAAACUUAAGCAGCACAAUGAACCUCCUUAAUGCACAAGCUCAGAAUACCCAGGUAUCACAAAAUAUACUGAGAAAAUGUGCAAUAUAAUGAGAGCUUCAAUUAGAAAGUGAAAAGUGAAAAUGUGCAAUAUAAUGUGUAGUAACUGAUACAGCAGGCACACAGAAAUUGAGUGGCCAAGCUCGACAUAUCAUUUGCCAUCAAAUAUGAGGAAUGAAGAAGAAAUCAUGAAAUCAGAUGAAUUGCUUCAUAUGGCUUGGGCAUUUGAUGUCAAAUACUGUCAGUUAUUAAUCAAUGCAAUCUUCAAUAGCUUCCCACAACCUCAUAUUUAAUUGUGGUAAUCAGACCAAAACUGCAUUACCAAAAUUUACUACUGACAUUGUCUCACCAUAAUUCCAAUUAAAUUCUGUAUUCGGCUUCCUUUGAUGCAAUUUUCAGUUCAUUACUAAGCAAAAACAUUGAUUUACAAGUUACAAUGUUGAAAAUCAAAUCAUAAAAUGUCAGCCCACUAAAAUCCCCAAAUACUAAAUUAAACUUGGUAUCACCAUAAAUUAGCGAAAAUAAAACAAUGGUGAUUUCCCUCAAUGUUGCAAGUUGAACAAAGUGUGCAGGAAGAUUUGAAGACACAAAACACCCCAUCCAGCCAUAAGAGAACAAGCAAAAAAAGGGAAAGCCAAAUGAGAAUCAAAGAAUAAACCUAAUAUGCCAAACAAAAUAAACAUACCAGUGCUGCAGAAUUGUCAUUGCCAUUAUUCACGUGUUGGCUUUCCAUGGUUUCUCCGGAUCUCUAGCAAUCAGAAAAGCAGUUUCUAUUACCCAAUUAGGUCUAAAAAUAUAAAGAGAGUGCGUAAAUUGAUCAGUACCUGAUGCUGAUGAGGCGUAUGAGUUUGAUUUUGGUUAGAACGGGUAUUGGAAUUGGAAACUCGAGUUGUGAAGCAGCAAGCGAAGACCCUCCUCAUAUUUAUACGCACCGUUAAAAAAUUUUUCAAGUGAAGUCUAACAAAAGCGCGGGACCAACGGACCAAACAGCCAAUCAAACAUUUUCUGCAAAAAAAAAAAAAAAAAAAAACAAAGAGUUGGCUUUUUGUCUGGGUUUGUCGAAACACAAUAAAAAAAGCAAAAUUUUGUGUAAUAAUUAAUUAAUUGAUCCACUUAACCGAAAACUAUCCCCACUUACCAACAGAGCAUUUUCAUAUUAUAGAAUAAUAAAAAUUAUAUCUUCCCCAUCUCUGCAAGGCUAAGGCUGCCGAGGCUUCUCUGUGAUGUGUUGCUUUGUCUUGCAGCUUGGGGUAUUCUCAAGUGGGCUUCAAUGCUUGAAUUAGAAUUGAAGAUUUAAGGUUUGUGCAAAGCAUAACUGUCCAUUAAUAGUAUAUUACUAUUUGUGAUGUGGUUCCUUGCUUCAUAGACUUUGAUUACAAGAAAAAGUUCUCUGUCUCAAUUUCCCCAUUUCUUACUGGGUGACAGGUUGAACCAUUGGUCAUUGGUGGCUGGGAAAAAUUAGGUGAAAUGGGUUUUCAAUUAGUAUGAUGGCUUUUUGCCCAGUUACAGGAGUUUCUGCUCAUUAUAAUUGCAUUACACGAUUCUCAAUCCGAGGUAUAGAACAUAAAAGCACACGAAAGCAAUCGGAAUCAGACCUGCUGCUGACCCUUCAUCAUGAAAUUUAAUGGCCUGAAAAUCUCAAAGAAGUUGGCGUGGAAGCAGAGUAAGAACAACGAGAAAGUAAAGCGAAAAUUUAGUGCAUAUAUUUGAUGGACAAAAUACGGCAUCGCAGUACAUUUCAACGCAUCACCUAGAAAUGGCAUUUUACAAUUCUAUGCUUCCAAGAGAAGCAAAAAAUGUUUUUUUUUUUUUUUUUUAGUUGACAGUUAAAACUGAUGGAAAAGAAAAGAAAAUCAGAAGGAAAUCAAUUUACAUUUAUCAGCUCACUCCCGCUGUCCCGCUGGCCACUGGAUUCAUUUCGGGCUUAAAGGGCUUUGAGUUUUAGAGCCCAUUCUAUGUUUAAACGAACAAACAAGCCGGGCCUUAAGAGCCCAUUCUCUGGGACAAACUCAAAGCCUAGAUCAUCUGAUUGCUUUUCCUCGCUGGAGCCCAAGGUUGGUGAUUAAUUUCCUUCAGAAGAGGACCAAAAGAAGGGGAUUUAAAAAAAAACAAUUCAACGAAAUCAUACUACUGAAUGUCAAAGUUGGUUGUCAAACAACUGGAAUCAAAUCUAAAACUAUAAUUAUUAAACGAGACACCAAUCCGAGCUUGCCAAAUAAAGACCAGAAGAGUCGGAGAAAAUGAACAAACCAUUCCUAUCUAUAUUGACUGUGCAGUGCAUGCAAUUAAAGAAACACGACAUUGAUUAUUGAAUUGGAUUUUGGUAGAAUAGGAGAAGAUUCUUCUACUACUUACUCGAAGAUUUUAUUUAUUUAUUUAUUACAUCACAUCUACAGCAAUUCUAGAACACAGCGCUUGCUGAUUUGGAAACCAAAAACAGCAAUUGGGCUUCUAGAAAGUAUAAACUUUGAAAUUUAAUAUCCCCAGUGGAUCAUUUCUUGCGUGUUUCAUGAGCUCAUUAAUUACAUAAAGUCAGAAGUCUUCACGACAUGAUUAAUCUUCUUAAUUCUUUCUUUCAUAGUUACAUGUAUGUAUGCAUGUAUGUAUAUGGGUGUUUGUCUUCAAAUUUCCAUUAAUCUGUUGAAUUAUCAUUAGAUGCCGUCACGUUACGACAAUUACAUGCACUUUAAUUGGCUUUCUUUUUCUCCGGAAUAGCCUCCCUGUAAUCGUUACUUGUAAAAUCAUUAUUCCCUUAAGGACACGAUACAAGGCUUCCUCAAGGCUCAUAUUAUAAUAGGACUACAUUUAGAAGGUGAUAAUUCUUUAAUAAUAAUAAUAAUAAUAAUAAAAAGAGCAGUUGUACGUAUUCCCAGAAGAACAUGGGAAUUUUGUUUGAAUGAAGAAGCAAAGGCCGCCCAAAUAAAACAAGUCCAACGAAUUGCGUGUCAAGUAUGUCUGUUUGUGACUCAACGGUGUAAUGAAAACUAUAUUAAAGUAAUCACGGAAAAAUAAAUUUUAGCGAAAUUCCAUAGUUACCCUCAAUCGGCUGCAUUAUUAACACAGCAAGCCCGACAAUCAAACGACAUAAUUGAGUGAAACACCAGGGGUGAUACGUAAUAUCAGUGAAACAAAUUAAGACAGCGUAUGUGAAUGUGACGCAUUGAAAAGCGUCCGAGGCGUCAGGUGGGGACCAGCCUCGGUUUCGUUGGUUUCUGAAAACGGAACCAAUAAUGAAAGCCCAUAACUAACUAAACUAAAACUAAAACCACCCUUCGAAGAAAUUUCGCCGGGAUGGAUGCUUCCGCGACAUGUGAGUCAACACGUGCAUACAUGAACGUAUUUAAAGCAAAAACGACAUAACAAGUCCCGCGUUUUAUGAGUUCAAUGGAGGUCCAGGGAAGUGGUCCUGGAGGAUCGAUGAAGAACAGAGAAAGUAAAACGAGGAAGAAGAAGAAGAAUGCAAAGUCUCGGUACUUGCCGAAGCUCUCGUGUUUGCGAACCGAGCCGGAUGGAAAAGGAAAUUUUGACAUGCAGGUCCAAACUAUUGGAGACGGAAACGGAGAUGGUCCGACUCCAACUCACCUCGUUGUUAUGGUUAACGGCAUUAUUGGCAGGUUAGUUAGCUUAAUUAGCUUAACGUUAAUCACAUUGCUAAUUAAUACUCUAUCUCGUCACGAUCAUGAUUAUGAUUCAAGACUUGAUUUGAUUAGAUUUGACUUUAUUUAUUAAUAACAGUGCUCAAAAUUGGAGCUAUGCUGCCAAGCAGUUUUGCUGCAAGUAUCCUGAGGAUCUUAUAGUUCACUGUGAGUGAUUAUUGUUAAUUCUUGAACCUCUAAUAUAAAAUUUUAAUCCAGUUGCAUGUUAUUUUGAGCUUAUGUAAAAGUGUAAAGAGGCAGUGGAAUCUAGGAAGUAUACUCGAUAUUCGCUACUAGUUUUGGUUUCUUUUAUUAAGAUAAUAAAUUGCAUAGGAUCAAUUUGUAAAUGCAGGCAGUGAGCGUAAUUAUUCUACGCUGACAUUUGAUGGCGUCGAUGUCAUGGGAGAAAGGCUAGCAGAAGAGGUGUGUUUUUGUUCGUUUUCCUGAUUGUUAAUCCUUUUACCUCAAAUGUUAUUUCUUUGUUUAAAAUACAAUGGUAUUGUUUCUUUCAGGUGAUAUCAGUCAUAAAACGGCACCCAGGUGUUCAGAAGAUCUCAUUUAUUGGUCACUCUUUAGGUGGCCUUGUGGCAAGGUAUGCUAUUGCCAGGCUUUAUGAACGAGAUGUCACAGAGGAACCUCACCACGCAAGUGGAGGAUCUAGGGUUGAUGAAUCUGAAGAAGAUUCAUGCCAGAAAGAUAAUUUGAAAGGCAAAAUCGCUGGCCUAGAGCCCGUGAAUUUUAUAACCUGUGCCACGCCUCACCUUGGCUCAAGGGGUCAUGAGCAGGUGACCUUUUGUACUUUGAAUGUUCAUAUAUAAUUAAUCCUCCCUUUCAUAACUAGUUUUCUCCAAUAAAUUUGUGAUUAAGUAAUUAUAUGGACUUCAUCAUAUAUGGUUUUCUUAUGUUAUAGCUUGUUCUUCUCAGGUCCCAGUGUUUUGUGGAUUUUACACUCUAGAAAAAGUAGCAGCCCGUGGAUCCUGGUUACUCGGAAGAACCGGAAAACAUUUAUUUUUGACUGACCGUAAUGAAGGGAAACCUCCUCUUCUUCUGCGAAUGGUCAGUGAUUGUGAAGACCUUAAAUUCUUGUGAGUCUUUGUAAACUUAUCUGGUUGAUAGCUAAGUGAACCCAAUUGAUUCCUCAACUUUUAAUCAUUUUUUCAUUGUGUCUACAGAUCUGCUUUGCAGUCCUUCAGGCGCCGUGUGGUCUACGCAAAUGCACGUUUUGAUCGUAUCCUCUUACUUUUAAGUGUAUUCUUUGAAUUAUAUUCCCCCACAGGCCUCCAAUUGUUUGAGAAAGAAGCUGCGUAACAUUACUUUAAGUGAUCAGGUGGAUUUUUGGCUUCUUUGGUACUCUGAUGCAAUCUCUUCUUAACUUACCAUUUACUUAUAGAAGAACUUAACUCUCUUCUUAGACAUUGUGGGAUGGAGUACAUCAUCUCUUCGGCAUCCAAAGGAGCUUCCAAAGGUAAUUAUGAACUUUAUAUUAGAAACUCCGAUAUUAUUAUUUGUCAUUCUCAGAGAGAUUUCUUUUUUAUCAGAGACGACAUCUUAAAAGAGUUGAUAAAUACAAACAUAUUGUAAAUGUGGAGACAACAAAAGCAGCUAGUUCACAAAGAGAAGUCCGUUCAGAGAACAUAGCAAAUAAAAGUGAAACUGCUGAUGUGGAAGGUUAGUUAAUUAUUUGUUACUUGAAAUUGAUCAAAAAAAAUAUUGCUCUGUCAAUAACUCCUAUGGUUUUCUUGAUGUUCAAAUUAUUAUCUCAUGUAACACUUAUAAGCUAAAAUCUUUAGAGGGUCUAGUUAUGCCCUCGUAGGAUCCUCGAGGAAGUAAAACUGAAAAAAACUACAUUGGAAAAGUACCAUUCAUAAUUUUACAGUUUAUUCAUUAGGAAAUCUGAAAAUUCAUGCGUAAAAGAAUGAGCAUACUUAUUUGCUUGCCAUUGGAUAUGUGUUCACACAGAAAAUUGCAGUUGCCUGCAUCCAUUUUCUUAUAUGUGAGGAAAAAAUCAGUUACUAUAAUUAGCUAUAAAUGGAUCAUUAUUAUUAUUUUUAUUUUCCUGAUAAGUAUUCUUCAAACAUUCAUGGUUUUGAAAAUGAGAUAUUGUAGUUGUGUUAAAUAACUCUCUGUUUGGAUGAAUCUUGGUUAAUCAAAUUGAUCACUGGAUUACAGUUGAAUUUCUUCACGACUCUACUGAGAAAUAGUGCCCUUUAGUCUUAAACAAGGAGUGUUACAUUUUAUGUGGUAGUGGACUGUGUUUUUAGAGCUUUUUGUCCUUAGGUUUCUAUGUGUUGAUGAUGUGCUAAGGUGAGUCUUAUUAAGAUGUAUGAUGAAGAGUUUGGGCAGCCCAUUCAAAAGUUUUUGAAAUGUUUUGAAAAUAUUGAAGUGUGUCAUCUGAAAUGUGAAUCUGACAAUGCAUCAGCAGUAGGAAUUAGGAAAUCAGGGAGCAGAAUGAGAUGCAGAGAAGAUAGGUGUUGGUUUUACUUCUAUUGUUGCAGACCUUUAAUCUUUUAAUGAGUUUCAUUAAGUAAUCGUUCAUCCUUCUCUUAACUUCAGAUCGCUGGAUAUUGUUAGAGGUUUUCCGGAAUCACUCAUUCUCAUUUGACAAUUGGCUUGAAUGAUAUUUUCCCCUUGGCAUCUCAGUUAUUGCAAGUUCUACUUGAAAAUGAUGGUCAUUAACAUAAUUGUUGCCCUUUAGAUGUAAUGCUCAAUCCUCAUUUUUUAAAGCUUAAUUCCACUGUUAGGAUCUCACCUACAAGAUUAAGCUUUUGGGUCAAGAGGUAACUUAACAUGGUAUUAAAGCCAGGAUUUAUCAUGUGGUCUCCCCAUGUGAUUGCAUUUUGUCUAUGGUUCUAUCUGCUAUCCCUGUUUGGGCAGAGUCUAAUUGUAUUUGUCUUUGUUUUUAUCUUCUAUCUUAUUAUUGCUUUUGGUCAACAUGGUUUAAUACCAGCUUGAGCUUUUAGAUCAAGCAGUACCUUAACACUUAUGUCACACAAUUGUAGAGGAAAUGCUCAGAUGUUUAACGACUUUGAGCUGGGAACGGGUUGACGUUAACUUCAGUAGAAGCAGGCAAAGAUUUCUAGCACACAGUACCAUUCAGGCAAGAUUUGCAAUUCUCUUACAAUUUCACCUAGGAAAUGGAGUUUUUCUGUACACUUUUUAAUUGCAGACAAGCAUUUGGUAUCUUACCCUGUAUGAUUCUGCUUCCGCACUGAAUAAGAAGUGCAUUCUAGAAGUUUUCCUUAGAGAUGCUGGUGUAACAUUAUCUUUUCCUCUGUGUUCAGGUGAAAACCUACUGUAUCAAUUCCGAUGGAGCCGAGGUGAUCCAACAUAUGAUUGACAAUUUUCUCCUGUAAACGAGGCCUACUCUAUAGAUUCUAUGUCAAUGCUUCUCUUGUCCUAAUUGGCAUCAAGAAUGAAUUUUUUGGGUGACUCUGUGAAGCUUGGUUUAAUAUGCUGGACGGACGCUCACUGUAACGACAGUACAACAAUAUUCACCACCCCCCCCCCCCCCNNNNNNNNNNNNNNNNNNNNNNNNNNNNNNNNNNNNNNNNNNNNNNNNNNNNNNNNNNNNNNNNNNNNNNNNNNAGAAGAAGGUAUAUAUCGGAACAUAUUGAUAUAUAAUUUAUAGUACAUUUCUUCAUGUUAAUGCAACAAUAGACGGAGAUGUUAGUUCAAGUUACAUGAAACAAUAUGUCCAAACUGAGUACGUACAAUUUUGCUUAUUGAUGAAUUAAUAUUAUUAUACAUGAUAUUUCUUCUAUUGUCACCCAUAACCAAAAGAAAAAAAUAAUUUAUAAAUCGCGUUGUGUGUGUAACUUUCUCUGUGUGUGUGCGUGUGUGAGAGAUCUUUUACAAUGUGACAAAUUUUAUCUUUUAAUUGGGAAAUUCUGGAGUCCUGUAACAGUUUUUGACGUCAUAAAUAGAGGUAGGAAUCGAAGGAUUGGCAGUAAAAUUUUGUAAAUUCCAAAGUGUUGAUGAAUUUGCUGGAAGCCUGGAACAAUGACACCCGCCAUGGUCAGAUAUCAUCGCAUCUGAUUCGCACAAAGUUAUAUGAUUCUGAUGCAAAUCCAUGGAUGCAUUAGUGACAUUCCUUGUUUUAGCAUCCUUUGGAAAUAUAUAUUUAAUAAAACUCUUCCCAAGGCCGAGAAAAAGGGUUGUUAGCGUGUCGAAGUAAAUUAUGCUCAGAGCCCAAAACACGAACGUGGAGGGACAAAUUGAAAGAUUAAAUAAAAAGUGAAAGCGAAAGCAAUAGCCCGAGAACUACAUAUCAUAUUUCCCUCCUCACCUGUGAAUCCCUUAUUUUAGAGAGCUCUCCAUCAUUUGAUACGCUGUGUGAUCUCUUAUUGUUGCUGAUUUUGUGUUAUUAUUGUAUCCUUUCAGUUUUCACUACCUCUUUGGUUUUGGCUCUUAAUGUUUUGCUGUACUGUCCAUUCCUUCUUUCCUUGCUCUGCCUCAGCUGCUAAAGCAGUCUUUCGGUUUGGUUUUUCUGGUGGCUCAUGAAACGAGGUCAAUGUCAUUCCCUUUUCGUUUGAGGUCCUCCACCUCUGUAGCCCUCUCAGUUUAGCCUCAUUCUAAUAACACUUUUUGCCUUGCAUGUUCCGUGACUUCCGUCUAACCAAAGCGAGCUACAUGUACAAGGUUACCAAGUGAAAGUGAGUGGACUUGUAGAGGUGAGGUGGCGUUUAAGCUCUGAACCUUUCUUCUCUUGGGACACUUCUCAGGAAAUCGAAUACAUCAACCUCUCUCUCUCUCUCUCUCUCUCUCUCUCUCUCCAG
This 37746-nucleotide long non-coding RNA is filed under the name Citrus sinensis (sweet orange). RNAcentral describes it as "long non-coding RNA (CSIN_LNC001407)". The record is from RNAcentral. Lineage: Eukaryota; Viridiplantae; Streptophyta; Magnoliopsida; Sapindales; Rutaceae.